UAAUCCCUUGAGCCCAGCGGUUCGAGGCUACAAUGAGAUGUGAUCCUGCCACAUCUCACUGUAGCCUCAAACCCUUGGGCUCAAGCGAUUCAGCAAGAAUCACACGAUUUUC
Molecule: microRNA precursor, 112 nt
Filed under: Chlorocebus sabaeus (green monkey)
Lineage: Eukaryota; Metazoa; Chordata; Mammalia; Primates; Cercopithecidae
Description: miRNA (ENSCSAG00000027882.1)
Rfam family: mir-1304 microRNA precursor family (bases 3-89)
Source: RNAcentral